This 121-nucleotide ribosomal RNA is filed under the name Paramormyrops kingsleyae. Lineage: Eukaryota; Metazoa; Chordata; Actinopteri; Osteoglossiformes; Mormyridae. The record is from RNAcentral.
CCCAGCAGCCCCUUCUCAUGCUACUUGUGGUUCAGAUUAAGUCAACAAGGAGCUAAGCAGUUUUGGGCCUGGUCAAUACUUGGCUGGGACACCAACUAGCAAAGCUGGGUUGCUGCUGGGA